UUCAAAUCCAAGGAACUAUUUUCUAUGAGGAAUUACAUGUAAUUUGAGUUUUAAGACUACACAGUGUCAUUGAACAAUGGAACAUUCUCUAGAAUAAUUUUCUUUAAUCCUGCAAAUGUUCACCUUUUCAGAAGUAGGUUGUUUUUUAUUUUGUUUUAUAUGGAUUUUACUUGUGUUGCAGGUGUUUCUUCAAGCCACAUCAACUUUAGUUGUGAAAUUAAAAUGCCAACUCCAUAGCUGACCCUUUCUAGGACACAGUUGCUGGCAAUGUCUGUGUUCACCUCUACUGUUCAGGCUGGGCAAAGGGCAUAGAUGUGGACGUCGGCUGGAAGGGACCACAUCUAGACACAGAGCUUGUUGACUGGUGAUCCCAGACUCCCUCUAGGAACCUCUGACUUAAGUAAGCAAGGACACCAAAUAUGUACAUGCACAGCAAGGCCCCUCAGCCAUAGCAGCAGCGCUUCCUGGAACAGACUACAAGUGGCA
Molecule: long non-coding RNA, 486 nt
Organism: Sapajus apella (tufted capuchin)
Lineage: Eukaryota; Metazoa; Chordata; Mammalia; Primates; Cebidae
Exons: 3
Source: RefSeq, a predicted model, not a curated record